CAGUCGCCGCGGUAAUACAGAGGGUGCGAGCGUUAAUCGGAAUUACUGGGCGUAAAGCGCACGCAGGCGGUCUGUCAAGUCGGAUGUGAAAUCCCCGGGCUCAACCUGGGAACUGCAUUCGAAACUGGCAGGCUAGAGUCUUGUAGAGGGGGGUAGAAUUCCAGGUGUAGCGGUGAAAUGCGUAGAGAUCUGGAGGAAUACCGGUGGCGAAGGCGGCCCCCUGGACAAAGACUGACGCUCAGGUGCGAAAGCGUGGGGAGCAAACAGGAUUAGAUACCCGAGUAGUCCCUGUCUCUUAUAC
Molecule: ribosomal RNA, 301 nt
Filed under: uncultured bacterium
Lineage: Bacteria
Description: partial 16S ribosomal RNA
Rfam family: Bacterial small subunit ribosomal RNA
Source: RNAcentral